UGAACACAGGAGGCGGAGGAAGUGUCCCCCUCACUAUGGGAAGACCACGAACUUUUCUCUCCACAUUUUUCAGGGUCUUUGUUUAUCUCGCUGGUUUCCUUCUUACAAGAUUCUUUCUUAGAUGACUCUUUUUUAGAUAAUUCUUUCUUAGAAGACUCCUUCUUCGAAGAUGGAAGUCCUUGUUCAUACAUCUUUACAAAAGAACUCUGUGAAUCCUUUUGGUCUUUCUGUUGCUUUUUUUCCUCCUUCCCA
This 252-nucleotide long non-coding RNA is filed under the name Gallus gallus (chicken). The record is from RNAcentral. Lineage: Eukaryota; Metazoa; Chordata; Aves; Galliformes; Phasianidae.